GCAAUCAGGGACGAAUAGCUCAGUAAAACUGCGAUGAUUUAGUCUGGCUGUGUAGAUAACUACGUGAAAAUGUAGCUAAGGGAAGGCAGAAUAAGACGCAGGACUAUCAGUUAGUUGGUAGUGUAAUGGACUACCAAGACAGUGACGGUUGACGGGAAAUUAGGGUUUUGUACCGGAGAGGGAGCCUGAGAGAUUGCUCCCACGUCCAAGGACGGCAGCAGGCGCGAAAAUUGCCCACUCUUUGCAGGAGGCAGUUAUGAGACGUGAAGAUGAGUAUCUUGUAAAGAGGGAUAGGAGAAUUGGAGGGCAAGUUUGGUGCCAGCAGCCGCGGUAAUACCGACUCCAAGAGUGUGUAUGAGAGAUGCUGCAGUUAAAAAGUCCGUAGUCAUAGAAGGGCAAAGAGAGAUGCGAGGUCUCACAGUGCGAUGAUGGAGGAGCCGAUGGGGAACAUAGUAUACCAGGGCGAGAGAUGAAAAUGCCAAGACCCCUGGUGGACUUGAGCGAGGCGAAGGCGA
This 515-nucleotide ribosomal RNA is filed under the name Vittaforma corneae. Its description in RNAcentral is "SSU rRNA". It matches the Rfam family "Microsporidia small subunit ribosomal RNA", at positions 69 to 607 of the family's 1311-position model. The record is from RNAcentral. Lineage: Eukaryota; Fungi; Microsporidia; Nosematidae.